CCUACGGGAGGCAGCAGUGAGGAAUAUUGGUCAAUGGACGAGAGUCUGAACCAGCCAAGUAGCGUGAAGGAUGACUGCCCUAUGGGGUGUAAACGUCUUUUAUAAAGGAAUAAAACGAGGCACGUGUGCCUGUUUGCAUGUACGUGAGGAAGAAGGAUCGGCUAACUCCGUGCCAGCAGCCGCGGUAAUACGGAGGAUCCGAGCGUUAUCCGGAUUUAGUGGGUUUAAAGGGAGCGUAGAUGGGUUGUUAAGUCAGUUGUGAAAGUUUGCGGCUCAACCGGAAAAUUGCAAUUGAUACUGGCAGUCUUGUGUACCGUUGCGGUCGGCGGCUUUCGUGGUGUAGCGGU
Molecule: ribosomal RNA, 347 nt
Filed under: uncultured bacterium
Lineage: Bacteria
Description: partial 16S ribosomal RNA
Rfam family: Bacterial small subunit ribosomal RNA
Source: RNAcentral